GGGUCAAGGAAGUAAGGGCGUAUGGUGGAUGUCUUGGUAUCAGAAAGCGAUGAAGGACGCGGCCAACUGCGAAAAGCCACGGGGAGGAGUAAGUAUCUUAUGAUCCGUGGGAUUCCGAAUGGGGAAACCCACCCAGAGUAAUGUCUGGGUAUCUUAUACUGAAUACAUAGGUAUAUGAAGCGAACCCGGCGAAGUGAAAUAUCUCAGUAACCGGAGGAAAAUAAAUCAAACGAGAUUCCCUUAGUAGCGACGAGCGAAUGGGGAAUAGCCCAAACCAAACCUACUUGUAGGUUUGGGGUUGUAGGACCGCAUGAGUAGGACUACUAUAUGAUAGUUGAAUGAGCUGGAAAGCUCUCCCAUAGAAGGUGAUAGGCCUGUAAGCGAAAUUUUAUAGUUACCGAAGCGGUAUCCUGAGUACCACG
This 422-nucleotide ribosomal RNA is filed under the name Nitrospirota bacterium. RNAcentral's name for it is "Nitrospirae bacterium (marine metagenome) partial 23S ribosomal RNA". It matches the Rfam family "Bacterial large subunit ribosomal RNA", at positions 1 to 419 of the family's 2925-position model. The record is from RNAcentral. Lineage: Bacteria; Pseudomonadati; Nitrospirota.